Molecule: non-coding RNA, 107 nt
Organism: Acanthosepion pharaonis
Lineage: Eukaryota; Metazoa; Mollusca; Cephalopoda; Sepiida; Sepiidae
Source: the annotation of a GenBank genome assembly
UACGGCCAUAUCACUCUGAAACACCGGUUCUCGUAUAGAUCACCGAAGUUAAGCAACGUUGUAGUCCGUCAGCACCUAGACGGGUAACCUCUUGGGAAUACCAGAUG